Non-coding RNA from Dipodomys ordii (Ord's kangaroo rat), 73 nucleotides. Lineage: Eukaryota; Metazoa; Chordata; Mammalia; Rodentia; Heteromyidae. The record is from Rfam.
GGGAAGUUGGCUCAGUGGUAGAGUUGCUUGCCUUGCAUGCAUGAGGCCUUGGGUUCAAUUCCUCAGCAUCACA